UUGUUUCCUUGGAGUAUUCUUGGUAGUA
RNAcentral lists this non-coding RNA (28 nucleotides) under Mus musculus (house mouse). Lineage: Eukaryota; Metazoa; Chordata; Mammalia; Rodentia; Muridae. The record is from RNAcentral.